This 201-nucleotide long non-coding RNA is filed under the name Elaeis guineensis (African oil palm). RNAcentral describes it as "long non-coding RNA (EGUI_LNC018818)". The record is from RNAcentral. Lineage: Eukaryota; Viridiplantae; Streptophyta; Magnoliopsida; Arecales; Arecaceae.
CUUGAGAAGAGGUUGGUAAAAGUUUCUCUCAGAUUUGGAGUUGAUCUGAGGUCGUUUGAGGUGCGGAUGAGAUCUCCAUCAACAGAUCUACAGGAAAGGCUGCAGCAGGACAGAUCUGCAAGGUCUGGUUCUAUCUACCUUCUUCCCUAUCUAAAAUAUCCUGAUUCGAGAUCUACAAAUUGAAAGACCUCGAUCCAGGCC